This 80-nucleotide transfer RNA is filed under the name Iris atrofusca. RNAcentral describes it as "tRNA-Leu". It matches the Rfam family "tRNA". Rfam says of the family: Transfer RNA (tRNA) molecules are approximately 80 nucleotides in length. Their secondary structure includes four short double-helical elements and three loops (D, anti-codon, and T loops). Lineage: Eukaryota; Viridiplantae; Streptophyta; Magnoliopsida; Asparagales; Iridaceae. The record is from RNAcentral. RNAcentral also lists the same sequence under 1 other name.
GCCGCCAUGGUGAAAUCGGUAGACACGCUGCUCUUAGGAAGCAGUGCUAGAGUAGCGGGGUUCGAGUCCGAGUAGCGGCA